CUGGAAGGGAUGUGGCCAAAAGGGAACCCUCCUACAUUGUUGGUUGGAGUGUAAACUUGUUCAACCACUCUGGAAAGCAGUGUGGAGGUUCCUCAAAAGGCUAAACAUAGAACUCCCCUUUAACCCAGCAGCCUUGCUUUUGGGCAUCUUCCCAAACGAUUACAAGCAAGACUACACUAAAGCCACCAGCACACUAUGUUCAUUGCAGCACAAUUUGCCAUCGCUAAAAUAUGGAACCAACCCAAAUGUCCUUCAGUAGAUGAGUGGAUCAAGAAAA
This is a long non-coding RNA of Perognathus longimembris pacificus (Pacific pocket mouse), 277 nucleotides long. RefSeq lists it as uncharacterized. The record is from RefSeq and is a predicted model, not a curated record. The transcript is spliced from 3 exons. Lineage: Eukaryota; Metazoa; Chordata; Mammalia; Rodentia; Heteromyidae.